Molecule: ribosomal RNA, 465 nt
Filed under: Vreelandella stevensii
Lineage: Bacteria; Pseudomonadati; Pseudomonadota; Gammaproteobacteria; Oceanospirillales; Halomonadaceae
Description: partial 16S ribosomal RNA
Rfam family: Bacterial small subunit ribosomal RNA
Source: RNAcentral
CCUACGGGUGGCAGCAGUGGGGAAUAUUGGACAAUGGGGGGAACCCUGAUCCAGCCAUGCCGCGUGUGUGAAGAAGGCCCUCGGGUUGUAAAGCACUUUCAGUGAGGAAGAACGCCUGGUGGUUAAUACCCAUCAGGAAAGACAGCACUCACAGAAGAAGCACCGGCUAACUCCGUGCCAGCAGCCGCGGUAAUACGGAGGGUGCGAGCGUUAAUCGGAAUUACUGGGCGUAAAGCGCGCGUAGGUGGCUUGAUAAGCCGGUUGUGAAAGCCCCGGGCUCAACCUGGGAACGGCAUCCGGAACUGUCAAGCUAGAGUGCAGGAGAGGAAGGUAGAAUUCCCGGUGUAGCGGUGAAAUGCGUAGAGAUCGGGAGGAAUACCAGUGGCGAAGGCGGCCUUCUGGACUGACACUGACACUGAGGUGCGAAAGCGUGGGUAGCAAACAGGAUUAGAUACCCCUGUAGUC